Zootermopsis nevadensis is the source of this 497-nucleotide non-coding RNA. NCBI's taxonomy places the organism in Eukaryota, Metazoa, Arthropoda, Insecta, Blattodea, Termopsidae. The record is from RefSeq and is a predicted model, not a curated record.
GCCAAUUACAGAUACAGCACAGAGACGAACACAUGAACACAAUAAAAACAAAAAAGUGGACUUUGGCGUUGCUGCGUAUGUGAUUAACAUUACAUCAAGAUUCAGUGGAACAGAUUAGUCAGAAUACUGUAAAAUGGAUACGUGAAAGAUUGAAGUUGUGUUUUACUGAGCAAAUUGUUUCAAAAUGGAGCUAAUAGAAAAAUAUUUGACAAGUGAAGGAAAAAAAUACAGUUCAGCUGUCAGAGAAUCAAGAAUUUGGAAGAUUCGUGGGUGUUGUAGAUUUUCAAAGACUGAUAAAAAUCCCAGAAGAUUCAGGAAGAAAAUCAAGUUUGGUACACAUUGUACAAUUCGUCAAAAGAAACUACAUUUGAGCGAAAGUGUGUCUCAGGUUAUGUUUUGUAUGAUAAACUGUAGAGAUAUUUGGAAUGUAUGUGAUAUAAACUGAACUACUUAGUUUCAUAUUAGGAUAUAGCCAUAGCGUGUGGUUGGCGAGUUCA